RNAcentral lists this ribosomal RNA (500 nucleotides) under uncultured bacterium. RNAcentral describes it as "partial 16S ribosomal RNA". It matches the Rfam family "Bacterial small subunit ribosomal RNA", at positions 30 to 523 of the family's 1533-position model. The record is from RNAcentral.
AUUGAACGCUGGCGGCGUGCCUUACACAUGCAAGUCGUACGGCAGCACGGGAGCAAUCCUGGUGGCGAGUGGCGAACGGGUGAGUAAAGUAUCGGAACGUGCCCAGUCGUGGGGGAUAACGUAGCGAAAGUUACGCUAAUACCGCAUACGAUCUAUGGAUGAAAGCGGGGGAUCGCAAGACCUCGCGCGAUUGGAGCGGCCGAUAUCAGAUUAGGUAGUUGGUGGGGUAAAGGCUCACCAAGCCGACGAUCUGUAGCUGGUUUGAGAGGACGACCAGCCACACUGGGACGGAGACACGGCCCAGACUCCUACGGGAGGCAGCAGUGGGGAAUUUUGGACAAUGGGCGAAAGCCUGAUCCAGCCAUGCCGCGUGCAGGAUGAAGGCCUUCGGGUUGUAAACUGCUUUUGUACGGAACGAAAAGGUUUGGCCUAAUAAGCUGAGCUCAUGACGGUACCGUAAGAAUAAGCACCGGCUAACUACGUGCCAGCAGCCGCCGUAA